AUACGUAGGGGGCGAGCGUUGCCCGGAUUUACUGGGCGUAAAGGGUGAGUAGGCGGUUAUAUAUGUCAGGUGUAAAAAGCUAUGGCUUAACCAUAGUAAGCACUUGAAACUGUAUGACUUGAGUGCAGGAGAGGUAAGCGGAAUUCCUAGUGUAGCGGUGAAAUGCGUAGAUAUUAGGAGGAACACCGGUGGCGAAGGCGGCUUACUGGACUGUAACUGACGCUGAGUCACGAAAGCGUGGGUAGCAAACAGGAUUAGAUACCCUGGUAGUCCACGCCGUAAACGAUGAGUGCUAGGUGUUGGGCAGCAAUGCUCAGUGCCGAAGUAAACACAAUAAGCACUCCGCCUGGGGAGUACGUACGCAAGUAUGAA
RNAcentral lists this ribosomal RNA (372 nucleotides) under uncultured bacterium. RNAcentral describes it as "bacterial SSU rRNA". It matches the Rfam family "Bacterial small subunit ribosomal RNA", at positions 523 to 898 of the family's 1533-position model. The record is from RNAcentral.